AUAAAAUCUGUGAUCAGAAAUAGUAGAUAUGGAUGUCAAGUUUUAGCGAGUCUGGGUUGGUGAAAGCCAGAUACUCUAGUCUAUAUUGAAUGGGUCUGUGAGAUGACGUGCGAACUAUAGUAGCAUUGUACGGGGGUCUACCGUUACAUAGACAGGGUAUCGAUAAUGUAUCUGUACCUGACAGAGAUGAUUUUAUGUUUGGGUGGCAUAAGCGAAAUAUAACAUUUCGUCCUAACGGAUGAAAUGUUUUUUAUUUUUUGCAUAGAAUUAUACUUACUUAUAGAUUUUGCUAUCACUCUUAUAAAUAUAAAAUCAAUAUGGGUGGCACCACGAGUCACUUCGUCCCAUGA
This 350-nucleotide non-coding RNA is filed under the name Gottschalkia purinilytica. RNAcentral describes it as "Clostridium purinilyticum T-box sequence". It matches the Rfam family "T-box leader". Rfam says of the family: Uncharged tRNA acts as the effector for transcription antitermination of genes in the T-box leader family. T-boxes are found upstream of many aminoacyl-tRNA synthetase genes and some amino acid biosynthetic genes usually in Gram-positive bacteria. The record is from RNAcentral. Lineage: Bacteria; Bacillati; Bacillota; Tissierellia; Tissierellales; Gottschalkiaceae.